ACCUGCCCUUGACUUCGGGAUAACUCCGGGAAACCGGGGCUAAUACCGGAUAUGAGCCGUCCUCGCAUGGGGGUGGUUGGAAAGUUUUUCGGUCAGGGAUGGGCUCGCGGCCUAUCAGCUUGUUGGUGGGGUGAUGGCCUACCAAGGCGACGACGGGUAGCCGGCCUGAGAGGGCGACCGGCCACACUGGGACUGAGACACGGCCCAGACUCCUACGGGAGGCAGCAGUGGGGAAUAUUGCACAAUGGGCGAAAGCCUGAUGCAGCGACGCCGCGUGAGGGAUGAAGGCCUUCGGGUUGUAAACCUCUUUCAGCAGGGAAGAAGCGCAAGUGACGGUACCUGCAGAAGAAGCGCCGGCUAACUACGUGCCAGCAGCCGCGGUAAUACGUAGGGCGCAAGCGUUGUCCGGAAUUAUUGGGCGUAAAGAGCUCGUAGGCGGUUUGUCGCGUCUGGUGUGAAAACUCGAGGCUCAACCUCGAGCUUGCAUCGGGUACGGGCAGACUAGAGUGCGGUAGGGGAGACUGGAAUUCCUGGUGUAGCGGUGGAAUGCGCAGAUAUCAGGAGGAACACCGAUGGCGAA
This 580-nucleotide ribosomal RNA is filed under the name Cellulosimicrobium sp. Its description in RNAcentral is "bacterial SSU rRNA". It matches the Rfam family "Bacterial small subunit ribosomal RNA", at positions 124 to 719 of the family's 1533-position model. Lineage: Bacteria; Bacillati; Actinomycetota; Actinomycetes; Micrococcales; Promicromonosporaceae. The record is from RNAcentral.